Molecule: ribosomal RNA, 460 nt
Filed under: uncultured Methylomirabilota bacterium
Lineage: Bacteria; Methylomirabilota (SeqCode)
Description: bacterial SSU rRNA
Rfam family: Bacterial small subunit ribosomal RNA
Source: RNAcentral
GGGCUUGACAUCCCACGAACCUGGCUGAAAGCUGGAGGUGCCCGCAAGGGGGCCCAGAGACAGGUGGUGCGUGGCUGUCGUCAGCUCGUGUCGUGAGAUGUUGGGUUAAGUCCCGCAACGAGCGCAACCCUCACCCCUAGUUGCCACCGGAUAGUGCCGAGCACUCGAGGGGAACUGCCAGCGUCAAGCUGGAGGAAGGCGGGGAUGACGUCAAGUCAUCAUGCCCCUUACGUCCUGGGCUACACACGUGCUACAAUGGCCAGUACAAAGGGAUGCAAGACCGCGAGGUGGAGCUAAUCCCAAAAAACUGGUCUAAGUUCAGAUUGCAGUCUGCAACUCGACUGCAUGAAGGAGGAAUCGCUAGUAAUCGCGCAUCAGCCCGGCGCGGUGAAUACGUUCCCGGGCCUUGUACACACCGCCCGUCACACCACGAAAGCUUACUGUACUCGAAGUCGCUGAG